AGCAGGCGCGUAAAUUGCCCGAAUCCUGACACGGGGAGGUAGUGACAAGAAAUAACAAUACAGGGCUACAUCUAGUCUUGUAAUUGGAAUGAGUACAAUUUACAUCUCUUAACGAGGAUCAAUUGGAGGGCAAGUCUGGUGCCAGCAGCUGCGGUAAUUCCAGCUCCAAUAGCGUGUAUUAAAGUUGUUGCAGUUAGAACGCUCGUAGUCGGAUUUCGGGGCGGGCCGACCGGUCUGCCGAUGGGUAUGCACUGGUCGGCGCGCCYUUCCUUCCCGGAGACCGUGCCUACUCUUAACUGAGCGGGGGCGGGAGACGGAAUUUUUACUUUGAAAAAAUCAGAGUGUUUCAAGCAGGCAGCUCGCUCUUGCACGGAUUAGCAUGGGAUAAUGAAAUAGGACUUUGGUGCUAUUUUGUUGGUUUCGAACACCGAAGUAAUGAUGAGAAGGGACAGUCAGGGGCACUCGUAUUCCGCAGAGAGAGGUGAAAUUCUCAGACCCGCGGAAGACGAACCACUGCGAAAACAUUUGCCAGGAAUGUUUUCACUGAUCAAGAACGAAAGUUAGGGGAUCGAAGAUGAUCAGAUACCGUCGUAGUCUUAACCAUAAACCAUGCCGACUAGGGAUUGGAGGAUGUUCACUGAUCGACUCCUUCAGCACCUUACGGGAAACUAAAGUCUUUGGGUUCCGGGGGGAGUAUGGUCGCAAGGCUGAAACUUAAAGGAAUUGACGGUAGGGCACCACCAGGUGUGGAGCCUGCGGCUUAAUUUGACUCAACACGGGGAAACUUACCAGGUCCAGACAUUGUAAGGAUUGACAGAUUGAGAGCUCUUUCUUGAUUCGAUGGGUGGUGGUGCAUGGCCGUUCUUAGUUGGUGGAGUGAUUUGUCUGGUUAAUUCCGUUAACGAACGAGACCUUAGCCUGCUAAAUAGUUACGCGAACUCUCUGUUCGCGGCCAACUUCUUAGAGGGACAACUUGUUUGCAACAAGUGGAAGUUUGAGGCAAUAACAGGUCUGUGAUGCCCUUAGAUGUUCUGGGCCGCACGUGCGCUACACUGAUGCACUCAACGAGUUUAUCACCUUGACCGAGAGGUCCGGGAAACCUUCGAACUUGCAUCGUGAUGGGGAUAGAUUAUUGCAACUAUUAAUCUUCAACGAGGAAUACCUAGUAAGCGCAUGUCAUCAGCGUACGUUGA
Molecule: ribosomal RNA, 1193 nt
Filed under: Haptophyta environmental samples
Lineage: Eukaryota; Haptophyta
Description: SSU rRNA
Rfam family: Eukaryotic small subunit ribosomal RNA
Source: RNAcentral